ACGCUCGACACCUACGGGAGGCGGCAGUGGGGAAUAUUGCACAAUGGGGGAAACCCUGAUGCAGCGACGCCGCGUGGAGGAAGAAGGUCUUCGGAUUGUAAACUCCUGUUGUUGGGGAAAAAGAGGAUGGUACCCAACAAGGAAGUGACGGCUAACUACGUGUCAGCAGCCGCGGUAAUCUGAGCGGGCUGGCAAGGC
Molecule: ribosomal RNA, 198 nt
Filed under: uncultured bacterium
Lineage: Bacteria
Description: partial 16S ribosomal RNA
Rfam family: Bacterial small subunit ribosomal RNA
Source: RNAcentral